GUGUCAGCCGCCGCGGUAAUACGUAGGGAGCAAGCGUUGUUCGGAAUUAUUGGGCGUAAAGAGCGCGUAGGCGGUUUGGUAAGUCUGGUGUGAAAUCCCGGAGCUUAACUCCGGAACUGCAUUGGAUACUGCCAGGCUUGAGUGUGGGAGAGGAGAGUGGAAUUCCCAGUGUAGAGGUGAAAUUCGUAGAUAUUGGGAGGAACACCCGUGGCGAAGGCGGCUCUCUGGACCACAACUGACGCUGAGGCGCGAAAGCUAGGGGAGCAAACGGGAUUAGAUACCCUCGUAGUCC
RNAcentral lists this ribosomal RNA (292 nucleotides) under uncultured bacterium. Its description in RNAcentral is "partial 16S ribosomal RNA". It matches the Rfam family "Bacterial small subunit ribosomal RNA", at positions 505 to 796 of the family's 1533-position model. The record is from RNAcentral.